RNAcentral lists this transfer RNA (88 nucleotides) under compost metagenome. Its description in RNAcentral is "tRNA-Leu". It matches the Rfam family "tRNA". Rfam says of the family: Transfer RNA (tRNA) molecules are approximately 80 nucleotides in length. Their secondary structure includes four short double-helical elements and three loops (D, anti-codon, and T loops). The record is from RNAcentral.
GCCGGGGUGGCGGAAUGGCAGACGCCCUAGACUUAAAAUCUAGUGUCAGGUUACUGGCGUGCGGCUUCGAGUCCCGUCCUCGGCACCA